This 239-nucleotide ribosomal RNA is filed under the name uncultured eukaryote. Its description in RNAcentral is "partial 18S ribosomal RNA". It matches the Rfam family "Eukaryotic small subunit ribosomal RNA", at positions 1208 to 1456 of the family's 1831-position model. The record is from RNAcentral.
GGGAACCUCACCCGGCCCGGACACCGCGAGGAUUGACAGACUGAGAGCUCUUUCUCGAUUCGGUGGGUGGUGGUGCAUGGCCGUUCUUAGUUGGUGGAGCGAUCUGUCUGGUUAAUUCCGAUAACGAACGAGACCCCAACCUGCUAACUAGCCCUCGGGUCCUGCUUCUGUUGGGCCCGACGGAAUGAUUCGCUUCUUAGAGGGACUCGCGGCGCCUAGCCGCACGAGGGGGGCAAUAA